Molecule: ribosomal RNA, 715 nt
Filed under: Herpomyces periplanetae
Lineage: Eukaryota; Fungi; Ascomycota; Laboulbeniomycetes; Herpomycetales; Herpomycetaceae
Description: eukaryotic LSU rRNA
Rfam family: 5.8S ribosomal RNA (bases 259-412)
Source: RNAcentral
UAGAGGAAGUAAAAGUCGUAACAAGGUUUCCGUAGGUGAACCUGCGGAAGGAUCAUUACUGAGUAUUGUCGGAUUUUCGCUUCUCGUGCGGACCCUAGGUCUUAAUGGGGAGUGUAUUAUUCGCAUGCAUUACUUACCAAAUGUUGAAUUGAUACGUGGUGGCGCAAGUCAGGUAUUUAAUAAUGGCUGCGCUUGCGCCGUCACCAUUAACCUAUAAUAUUACAUGUGAUGGCGGACUACGGAUUACGAAUUAAUAUAAACUUUCAACAAUGGAUCUCUUGGUUCUGGCAUCGAUGAAGAACGCGGCAAAAUGCGAUAAGUAAUGUGAAUUGCAGAAUUCAGUGAAUCAUCGAAUCUUUGAACGCAAAUUGCGCUUUCUGGUAUUCCGGAAAGCACACCUGUUCGAGCGUCAAUUUUCAAAUAUUAGUAUCCGUUGCUUGCGUACGCUGGCCGGAUGUCUUGGAUGAACAUUGCUGUGUCUGGCUGCCAUGUGGUGGUGCUGAUCGGCACAUCCGAAAGUUGUUUACGGCGAUGUGAAGUGCUUCGGUGGUAGCAAUGUUGAAGACUUGUGUUUUCGCUUUCAGCCUUGAAGUAUGGAGCAUAUGCGUUUACGUGUUGAAGGUCGGGUUGGCUGCGUAGAGCGGUUCAGCGUUGACCGUGAAGCUUGUGACCUCGAAUCAGGUGGGAGUACCCGCUGAACUUAAGCAUAUCAAUA